This 247-nucleotide ribosomal RNA is filed under the name uncultured bacterium. Its description in RNAcentral is "partial 16S ribosomal RNA". It matches the Rfam family "Bacterial small subunit ribosomal RNA", at positions 523 to 769 of the family's 1533-position model. The record is from RNAcentral.
AUACGUAGGUGGCAAGCGUUGUCCGGAAUUAUUGGGCGUAAAGGGCGUGUAGGUGGAUUUUUAAGUCGUGUGUCUAAGAGCGGGGCUCAACCCCGUAUAGGCGCAGGAAACUGGAGAUCUUGAGUGCAGGAGAGGAAAGUGGAAUUCCCAGUGUAGCGGUGAAAUGCGUAGAUAUUGGGAGGAACACCAGUGGCGGAGGCGACUUUCAGGACUGUGUCUGACACUGAGGCGCGAAAGCCAGGGGAGC